CGCGGGGAGAGGGAAGGCGAAGGCGGGCUGAGCCCGGCGCCGGGAGGAGUGGUCUAAACUCCACCGCGGCUUUCGCAUCGGAGACGUGUCUUUAGGAAGCAGAGAGGGUUCGAUUCUGGACUCCGCCCAUGACUCACUUCUCUUGUAAAGAAAGAGUUGUCCUUCCUGGUACUCCAGGUUUAUGGGAUGCAGGAUAAUGGAGCAUGCUCUAUCUGGGACAUUGCUAGUCUUAUGACAGAGGGAGAAGACAGCGAUGGUAACUUUGCUGGGACUAUGAUAGAAUCAUGAAAUCAUCCAGGCCUUUAAAAAUGUUCAUCACAACAUUUAAUCUGGACAUCAUUUGUAGCAAUUACCACCAUUUCAGUUUUAUACAACACCAUGAAAGGGCUCAGCUGGCAGUAGUUUUCGAAGAACUCCAGGAAGUGGCUGCAGAGCAAAGUAGGAUCCUGAUACUGAUCACACUUUUGUCAAGAAGCCAAAGAACAAAGUUGAUUAAAGCAUUAUGCCUGGAAAUAAAGGGGAACAGGACAUCAGCAAAAUUCUUUUUAUCCAUUCACACAUUGAAGACAUGUAAGAUCAAUGACACACAAAAUGGAAGAGAAAUCUUAAUCACACGUGUGAAGACUAGCAGGUAUUUUUUUCCUGUGCACAUCAACGGGCUGUAUUGUGGCAUAUACAUGAAAGGGUGAAGUGCUUGAUGUCUUUAGUUUAUGUUUUCCUAAAACUCCAUGCUACUAGGAG
Homo sapiens (human) is the source of this 741-nucleotide long non-coding RNA. NCBI's taxonomy places the organism in Eukaryota, Metazoa, Chordata, Mammalia, Primates, Hominidae. The record is from Ensembl.